UUGCCCAGUAACGGCGAGUGAAGCGGCAACAGCUCAAAUUUGAAAUCUGGCCCUAGGCCCGAGUUGUAAUUUGCAGAGGAUGUUUCUGGCGACGCGCCUUCCGAGUUCCCUGGAACGGGACGCCAUAGAGGGUGAGAGCCCCGUACGGUUGGAUGCCUAGCCUCUGUGAAACUCCUUCGACGAGUCGAGUAGUUUGGGAAUGCUGCUCUAAAUGGGAGGUAUACGUCUUCUAAAGCUAAAUACCGGCCAGAGACCGAUAGCGCACAAGUAGAGUGAUCGAAAGAUGAAAAGCACUUUGAAAAGAGGGUUAAAUAGUACGUGAAAUUGUUGAAAGGGAAGCACUUAUGACCAGACUUGGGCAGGUUGAUCAUCCUCCGUUCUCGGUGGUGCACUCUGCCUGUCCAGGCCAGCAUCAGUUCGCUUCGGGGGAUAAAGGUUUCGGGAAUGUGGCUCCCUCGGGAGUGUUAUAGCCCGUUGCGUAAUACCCUGGGGCGGACUGAGGUUCGCGCUCUGCAAGGAUGCUGGCGUAAUGGUCAUCAGUGACCCGUCUUGAAACACGGACCAAGGAGUCGUCUUCGUAUGCGAGUGUUCGGGUGUCAAACCCCUACGCGUAAUGAAAGUGAACGUAGGUCAGAGCUUCGGCGCAUCACCGACCGAUCCUGAUGUUCUCGGAUGGAUUUGAGUAAGAGCAUACCGGGCCGGACCCGAAAGAAGGUGAACUAUGCCUGAAUAGGGUGAAGCCAGAGGAAACUCUGGUGGAGGCUCGCAGCGGUUCUGACGUGCAAAUCGAUCGUCAAAUAUGGGCUUG
RNAcentral lists this ribosomal RNA (808 nucleotides) under Stephanonectria keithii. RNAcentral describes it as "LSU rRNA". It matches the Rfam family "Eukaryotic large subunit ribosomal RNA", at positions 75 to 919 of the family's 3401-position model. The record is from RNAcentral. Lineage: Eukaryota; Fungi; Ascomycota; Sordariomycetes; Hypocreales; Nectriaceae.